This 265-nucleotide ribosomal RNA is filed under the name uncultured archaeon. RNAcentral's name for it is "partial 16S ribosomal RNA". It matches the Rfam family "Archaeal small subunit ribosomal RNA", at positions 717 to 982 of the family's 1478-position model. The record is from RNAcentral.
ACACGACUACAUUAGAUACCCGCGUAGUCCCAGCCCUAAACGAUGCGCGUUAGGUGUACCGGUGACCACGAGUCACCGAGGUGCCGAAGGGAAACCGUGAAACGUGCCGCCUGGGAAGUACGGUCGCAAGGCUGAAACUUAAAGGAAUUGGCGGGGGAGCACCACAACGGGUGGAGCUUGCGGUUUAAUUGGAUUCAACGCCGGAAAUCUUACCGGGACCGACAGCAACAUGAAGGCCAGGCUGAAGACUUUGCCGGAUUAGCUG